This 253-nucleotide ribosomal RNA is filed under the name uncultured bacterium. Its description in RNAcentral is "partial 16S ribosomal RNA". It matches the Rfam family "Bacterial small subunit ribosomal RNA", at positions 524 to 776 of the family's 1533-position model. The record is from RNAcentral.
GACGAACCGUACGAACGUUAUUCGGAAUUACUGGGCUUAAAGGGUGCGUAGGCUGCGCGGAAAGUUGGGUGUGAAAUCCCUCGGCUCAACCGAGGAACUGCGCCCAAAACUACCGUGCUCGAGGGAGACAGAGGUGAGCGGAACUUAGGGUGGAGCGGUGAAAUGCGUUGAUAUCCUAAGGAACACCCGUGGCGAAAGCGGCUCACUGGGUCUCUUCUGACGCUGAGGCACGAAAGCUAGGGUAGCGAACGGG